AGGAGCGCUGGAGCCACGCCAUGCCUGACUUUACACAGGAUUCUGUGAAGGCGAACUCAGGUUCUCACACUUUCGUAGCAAGUCUUUUCAUCCACUGAUCUAUCUUCUCAGUUUCAUUAUGAUACUUAGCACACUACACAUGCUGAAAGUGAAUGAAAGAUGAAAUGUAAGACCAAAAUGCCUGGAGGAAAACAUCAUGAAAAACUUCUUGGCAAGGUCUUGAACCUACUUCCUGGGAUUAUCAAGUCCACUGAUUGUCAACACAGAGGCCAAAGAGGGUGACUAACGACAUAUGAGGAAUUAUAAUGAAUAUGCAGUCUAUUGAGUUAUUGAACUUUUCAUUUUGAAGUUCUGCCUGAAAAGAACUAAAAUACCAGUUCCUUUUGGGAAAAUGAGCAUUUCGUUUUAGAGAAAAAGAUCACAGACACAAAGGAAGACACUACAAGAAGUUUCUCUCAAAAUCUCCAACCACAAUGCUCCACGGUAUUGUUAAAGUAUUUUGUUGACAGUACAGUUUGUUUGAUCAAAAUGCUAUCUCCUAUAAGAUAGACUAUUUGAAUUGUCCAAAUAACCAUCUUGUAAGUCCAAGUCCUAAGAUCAAUUACAUGAGUCUAUCCU
Myodes glareolus (Bank vole) is the source of this 618-nucleotide long non-coding RNA. RefSeq lists it as uncharacterized. Lineage: Eukaryota; Metazoa; Chordata; Mammalia; Rodentia; Cricetidae. The record is from RefSeq and is a predicted model, not a curated record.